RNAcentral lists this ribosomal RNA (405 nucleotides) under uncultured bacterium. Its description in RNAcentral is "bacterial SSU rRNA". It matches the Rfam family "Bacterial small subunit ribosomal RNA", at positions 28 to 415 of the family's 1533-position model. The record is from RNAcentral.
GAUGAACGCUGGCGGCGUGCCUAACACAUGCAAGUCGAACGAAGCGAUUUCAAUGAAGUUUUCGGAUGGAAUUGAGAUUGACUGAGUGGCGGACGGGUGAGUAACGCGUGGGUAACCUGCCUCAUACAGGGGGAUAACAGUUAGAAAUGACUGCUAAUACCGCAUAAGCGCACGGAUCUGCAUGGAUCAGUGUGAAAACUCCGGUGGUAUGGGAUGGACCUGCGUCUGAUUAGCUAGUUGGUGAGGUAACGGCCCACCAAGGCGACGAUCAGUAGCCGACCUGAGAGGGUGACCGGGCCACAUUGGGACUGAGACACGGCCCAAACUCCUACGGGAGGCAGCAGUGGGGAAUAUUGCACAAUGGGGGAAACCCUGAUGCAGCGACGCCGCGUGAGUGAAGAAGUA